Molecule: non-coding RNA, 96 nt
Organism: Mycena galericulata
Lineage: Eukaryota; Fungi; Basidiomycota; Agaricomycetes; Agaricales; Mycenaceae
Source: the annotation of a GenBank genome assembly
GGCCUGGUGGUGUAGUGGUAACAUGUCUCUCCGAUUUAUAUGCACCACAGUAAAAUGUAUAGGAGGAAUUACCCUGUUCGAUUCGGGGCCAGGCCA